GACGAACGCUGGCGGCGUGCCUAAUACAUGCAAGUCGAGCGAACUUUCAAGAAGCUUGCUUUUUGAAAGUUAGCGGCGGACGGGUGAGUAACACGUGGGCAACCUGCCUGUAAGACGGGGAUAACUCCGGGAAACCGGGGCUAAUACCGGAUAAUAUCUUUCUUCGCAUGAAGGAAGGUUGAAAGGCGGCGCAAGCUGCCGCUUGCAGAUGGGCCCGCGGCGCGUUAGCUAGGUGGUGAGGUAACGGCUCACCAAGGCGACGAUGCGUAGCCGACCUGGGAGGGUGAUCGGCCACACUGGGACGGGGACACGGCCCAGAAUCCUACGGGAGGCAGCAGUAGGGAAUCUUCCGCAAUGGACGAAAGUCUGACGGAGCAACGCCGCGUGAGCGAAGAAGGUCUUCGGAUCGUAAAGCUCUGUUGUCAGGGAAGAACAAGUACCGUUCGAAUAGGGCGGUACCUUGACGGUACCUGACCAGAAAGCCACGGCUAACUACGUGCCAGCAGCCGCCGUAA
Molecule: ribosomal RNA, 515 nt
Filed under: uncultured bacterium
Lineage: Bacteria
Description: partial 16S ribosomal RNA
Rfam family: Bacterial small subunit ribosomal RNA
Source: RNAcentral